GAUGAACGCUGGCGGCGUGCCUAAUUCAUGCAAGUCGAGCGAACAGACGAGGAGCUUGCUCCUCUGACGUUAGCGGCGGACGGGUGAGUAACACGUGGAUAACCUACCUAUAAGACUGGGAUAACUUCGGGAAACCGGAGCUAAUACCGGAUAAUAUAUUGAACCGCAUGGUUCAAUAGUGAAAGACGGUUUUGCUGUCACUUAUAGAUGGAUCCGCGCCGCAUUAGCUAGUUGGUAAGGUAACGGCUUACUAAGGCAUCGAUGCGUAGCCGACCUGAGAGGGUGAUCGGCCACACUGGAACUGAGACACGGUCCAGACUCCUACGGGAGGCAGCAGUAGGGAAUCUUCCGCAAUGGGCGAAAGCCUAACGGAGCAACGCCGCGUGAGUGAUGAAGGUCUUCGGAUCGUAAAACUCUGUUAUUAGGGAAGAACAAAUGUGUAAGUAACUAUGCACGUCUUGACGGUACCUAAUCAGAAAGCCACGGCUAACUACGUG
This 497-nucleotide ribosomal RNA is filed under the name uncultured bacterium. RNAcentral's name for it is "partial 16S ribosomal RNA". It matches the Rfam family "Bacterial small subunit ribosomal RNA", at positions 28 to 507 of the family's 1533-position model. The record is from RNAcentral.